This 255-nucleotide ribosomal RNA is filed under the name uncultured bacterium. Its description in RNAcentral is "partial 16S ribosomal RNA". It matches the Rfam family "Bacterial small subunit ribosomal RNA", at positions 524 to 776 of the family's 1533-position model. The record is from RNAcentral.
UACGUAGGGUGCGAGCGUUUAAUCGGAAUUACUGGGCGUAAAGCGUGCGUAGGCGGUUCGUUAAGUCAGCUGUGAAAGCCCCGGGCUCAACCUGGGAAUGGCGAUGGAUACUGGCUCGCUAGAGUGCGGUAGAGGAGAGUGGAAUUCCCGGUGUAGCAGUGAAAUGCGUAGAGAGUCGGGAGGAACAUCAGUUGCGAAGGCGGCUCUCUGGACCAGCACUGACACUGAGGCACGAAAGCGUGGGGAGCAAACAGG